GUAACACGUAAAGAACCUGCCCUCAGGUCUGGGAUAACCACGAGAAAUCGGGGCUAAUACCGGAUGGGUCAUCGGACCGCAUGUCCGAGGAUGAAAGGCGCUUCGGCGUCGCCUGGGGAUGGCUUUGCGGUGCAUUAGCUAGUUGGUGGGGUAAUGGCCCACCAAGGCGACGAUGCAUAGCCGACCUGAGAGGGUGAUCGGCCACACUGGGACUGAGACACGGCCCAGACUCCUACGGGAGGCAGCAGUAGGGAAUCUCCCACAAUGGACGAAAGUCUGAUGGAGCAACGCCGCGUGAACGAUGAAGGCCUUCGGGUCGUAAAGUUCUGUUGUAAGGGAAGAACAAGUGCCGCAGGCAAUGGCGGCACCUUGACGGUACCUUGCGAGAAAGCCACGGCUAACUACGUGCCAGCAGCCGCGGUAAUACGUAGGUGGCAAGCGUUGUCCGGAAUUAUUGGGCGUAAAGCGCGCGCAGGCGGCCUCUUAAGUCUGAUGUGAAAGCCCCCGGCUCAACCGGGGAGGGCCAUUGGAAACUGGGAGGCUUGAGUAUAGGAGAGAAGAGUGGAAUUCCACGUGUAGCGGUGAAAUGCGUAGAGAUGUGGAGGAACACCAGUGGCGAAGGCGACUCUUUGGCCUAUAACUGACGCUGAGGCG
RNAcentral lists this ribosomal RNA (654 nucleotides) under uncultured bacterium. RNAcentral describes it as "bacterial SSU rRNA". It matches the Rfam family "Bacterial small subunit ribosomal RNA", at positions 110 to 753 of the family's 1533-position model. The record is from RNAcentral.